CACGUAGGGGGCGAGCGUUGUCCGGAUUUAUUGGGCGUAAAGGGCUCGUAGGCGGCUCAGUAAGUCGGGUGUGAAACCUCCAGGCUCAACCUGGAGACGCCACUCGAUACUGCUGUGGCUAGAGUCCGGUAGGGGAGCAUGGAAUUCCUGGUGUAGCGGUGAAAUGCGCAGAUAUCAGGAAGAACACCAAUGGCGAAGGCAGCACUCUGGGACGUGACUGACGCUGAGACGCGAAAGCGUGGGGAGCAAACAGG
RNAcentral lists this ribosomal RNA (254 nucleotides) under uncultured bacterium. RNAcentral's name for it is "partial 16S ribosomal RNA". It matches the Rfam family "Bacterial small subunit ribosomal RNA", at positions 524 to 776 of the family's 1533-position model. The record is from RNAcentral.